This 206-nucleotide ribosomal RNA is filed under the name Aeromonas veronii. RNAcentral's name for it is "partial 23S ribosomal RNA". It matches the Rfam family "Bacterial large subunit ribosomal RNA", at positions 1 to 199 of the family's 2925-position model. The record is from RNAcentral. Lineage: Bacteria; Pseudomonadati; Pseudomonadota; Gammaproteobacteria; Aeromonadales; Aeromonadaceae.
GUUGUAUGGUUAAGUGACUAAGCGUACAUGGUGGAUGCCUUGGCAGUCAGAGGCGAUGAAGGACGUACUAACCUGCGAUAAGCUGUGAGAAGUCGGUAAGAGACGCUAUUACUCACAGAUUUCCGAAUGGGGAAACCCACCCAAGAUAACUUGGGUAUCUGUUACUGAAUACAUAGGUAACAGAGGCGAACCGGGAGAACUGAAAC